UGUUUCGGCUAGGGGGUCAUCCCGACUUACCAACCCGAUGCAAACUACGAAUACCGAAGAAUGUUAUCACGGGAGACACACGGCGGGUGCUAACGUCCGUCGUGAAGAGGGAAACAACCCAGACCGCCAGCUAAGGUCCCAAAGUCAUGGUUAAGUGGGAAACGAUGUGGGAAGGCACAGACAGCCAGGAUGUUGGCUUAGAAGCAGCCAUCAUUUAAAGAAAGCGUAAUAGCUCACUGGUCGAGUCGGCCUGCGCGGAAGAUGUAACGGGGCUAAACCAUGCACCGAAGCUGCGGCAGCGACACUAUGUGUUGUUGGGUAGGGGAGCGUUCUGUAAGCCUGCGAAGGUGUGCUGUGAGGCAUGCUGGAGGUAUCAGAAGUGCGAAUGCUGACAUAAGUAACGAUAA
Molecule: ribosomal RNA, 407 nt
Filed under: Klebsiella pneumoniae
Lineage: Bacteria; Pseudomonadati; Pseudomonadota; Gammaproteobacteria; Enterobacterales; Enterobacteriaceae
Description: partial 23S ribosomal RNA
Rfam family: Bacterial large subunit ribosomal RNA
Source: RNAcentral